Molecule: long non-coding RNA, 1796 nt
Organism: Oryctolagus cuniculus (rabbit)
Lineage: Eukaryota; Metazoa; Chordata; Mammalia; Lagomorpha; Leporidae
Source: Ensembl
UAUAUACAGAAGAUCAUGUUAGCAAACAUUAAGUAAAUAUUUCAACAGUUUGUUCCAACACAGAAACAUAAAGUGAAAAAUACUGUUUUGAGUAAGUAGUUAUAGCAUUAAAUCUCAAGGUACAGCACUCUAAGGACAUUUUUUGUGACCCCUAAACCUGCUCUAAAAAGAACAGUCUUUUAAAGAGGAGGAGGAGGAGGAGGAGAAAGGAAAGGAGAAGGAGUGUGAGGGAGAGUAGUAGUAGUAGUAAUAUGUUAAUAUUUCUCAAGGCGUAAUUUCAGAGAGUUGAUGCCAAUGCACCUGACCACUUUCACCCCUCCCCCUUAGCAGACUAAUCAAUUGCUUCUUUCUAUGUGUUCCUAUUGGGUAUAUAUCCUAUGUAUUUUAUAGUUUAUAUCACAUUUUAUUAAAGUUAUUUUCAGGUCUCACUUCCUGACUAUGAAUUGCUCAAGGGCAGAGGUAGUGUUUUAUUUUGUUGAUAUUUCUACAGUACUGGAAAUACCAUAUGGUUGAGUGGAUAAUUAUUUGCUGUGUAAACGUAUGAAGGACAUCCUUCAGCCAUUUUCAAAGGUAGUUUUAAAGGAUCUUGCUUCAGAAUCUGUUCUUCUUCAGGCUUUAGAGGACUGUGAAAAUAGCUUCCUCCAAGUGGUUCAUCCCAAGAACAGUGGUCAACACAAGAGUGAGACAGCAUUGAAGAAUAUUCCCGGGAAAUUCAGAACAUCUGAGAAUUCUAAACUUCAAGGACUAACCAGAAAGAAGCAGAAGAGGGAAGGAAGCUUCUUUCUAUUCUAAAAAGAAAGGCAAUCUAAUGAAGAAAGAAGGUAAUAUGCAUGAGUAUCUGGGGGUGCUAGAAUGGAAGAGGCAGCCAGGAAUGAAGAGCUCCUUCAUUUUGUGAGGAAUAUUUUAGAUGUAAGUACCAGCAUGUAUAACUCAGUGAUAAAGAGCUGUUGACUUGGGUAUCUGAAAAAGCCUAGGAGUAAUAAUGACCUUGGGCAGCAGGAGUUAUUCUGGCCUGAUGAUGCCAUCAGGAUUCAUUUUUUAGCAUUCAUUGGCUCUAUCUUUAGACUAGCUUCACUGUAAGCCUUUGUGACUAGCAGAUUCAUAGUUAUUUCCUUCAAGCUUCAACCCAGGUAAAAAUGUGUUGCCUCUUUCUUUAGUUCCUUUAAAUAGACCUAUGUAGGCUCACAUACACAUUUCUAACCAUGGAUAAUCUUUUUAGACAAAUUUCAGUUUCAUAGCAUUCUUAAAUAAGAGUAUUAGGAAAAGACAACUCUACUUGUACAUGAUCUGAAACUGAGAAUGGAGUUAAUUACCUGAAGGGCAAUACAGGGAAUAUUUACAAAAGGUCAGUGAGGGCUGGGCAACCAAAUGUAAACAAAACAGAUAUUUUCUGGGUGCUCUCUCACUGUUCCACUUCUAUGUUCUUGUCCAGUAUAAUGACAUUGAAGCCUAUAGUUGCAGGAAGAAUCCUGAUCAUGUGAAACUUUUGGGAGAGAAAAUAUAUUGAGAGGGACUUAUGGAUUUGAAGUGGAGAGAAUCAAUUGGAGGCCCCCUCAACCAGGUAGACAGACCAUCUAAUAACCUGGCCUCUCUUUGUCUACUCCUCACUUUAGAGCAUUUAGCCUCCAUUCCAGUUUAGUUACCCUAAUGAUCUAGAAAUUAUCAACAGGUAUGUCUGCCUUCUAAAGAAAUUCAGUUUGACACUCUACCCAUACCUUCUAGUCUAUGCUCUCCUGUGCCAGUGAUAAGUCUAAUCAGGAACUAUAAGCCACUUAAAAUUUUCUCCCUGGCAAUCC